GUGUCAGCAGCCGCGGUAAAACGUAGGGGGCGAGCGUUAUCCGGAUUUACUGGGCGUAAAGCGCGUGCAGGCGGCUUGGUAGGUUGGACGUGAAAGCUCCUGGCUUAACUGGGAGAGGCCGUUCAAGACCGCUGAGCUUGAGGACGGAAGAGGGAAGUGGAAUUCCCGGUGUAGUGGUGGAAUGCGUAGAUAUCGGGAGGAACACCAGUGGCGAAAGCGACUUCCUGGUCCGCACCUGACGCUCAAGCGCGAAAGCGUGGGGAGCGAACGGGAUUAGAAACCCCCGUAGUCC
Molecule: ribosomal RNA, 292 nt
Filed under: uncultured bacterium
Lineage: Bacteria
Description: partial 16S ribosomal RNA
Rfam family: Bacterial small subunit ribosomal RNA
Source: RNAcentral